Molecule: ribosomal RNA, 497 nt
Filed under: uncultured bacterium
Lineage: Bacteria
Description: partial 16S ribosomal RNA
Rfam family: Bacterial small subunit ribosomal RNA
Source: RNAcentral
GAUGAACGCUGGCGGCGUGCCUAAUACAUGCAAGUCGAGCGAACAGAUAAGGAGCUUGCUCCUUUGACGUUAGCGGCGGACGGGUGAGUAACACGUGGGUAACCUACCUAUAAGACUGGGAUAACUUCGUGAAACCGGAGCUAAUACCGUAUAACAUUUGGAACCGCAUGGUUCUAAAGUGAAAGAUGGUUUUGCUCUCACUUAUAGAUGGACCCGCGCCGUAUUAGCUAGUUGGUAAGGUAACGGCUUACCAAGGCGACGAUACGUAGCCGACCUGAGAGGGUGAUCGGCGACACUGGAACUGAGACACGGUCCAGAGUCCUAGGGGAGGCAGCGGUAGCGAAUCUUGCGAAAUGGGCGAAAGCCUGACGGAGCAACGCAGCGUGAGUGAUGAAGGGCUUCGGCUCGUAAAACUCUGUUAUUAGGGAAGAACAAAUGUGUAAGUAACUGUGCACGUCUUGACGGUACCUAAACAGAAAGCAACGGCCAACUACGUG